This 75-nucleotide transfer RNA is filed under the name Candidatus Staskawiczbacteria bacterium RIFOXYC1_FULL_38_18. RNAcentral's name for it is "tRNA-Glu". It matches the Rfam family "tRNA". Rfam says of the family: Transfer RNA (tRNA) molecules are approximately 80 nucleotides in length. Their secondary structure includes four short double-helical elements and three loops (D, anti-codon, and T loops). Further hydrogen bonds mediate the characteristic L-shaped molecular structure. tRNAs have two regions of fundamental functional importance: the anti-codon, which is responsible for specific mRNA codon recognition, and the 3' end, to which the tRNAs corresponding amino acid is attached (by aminoacyl-tRNA synthetases). tRNAs cope with the degeneracy of the genetic code in two manners: having more than one tRNA (with a specific anti-codon) for a particular amino acid; and 'wobble' base-pairing, i.e. permitting non-standard base-pairing at the 3rd anti-codon position. The record is from RNAcentral. Lineage: Bacteria; Candidatus Staskawicziibacteriota. RNAcentral also lists the same sequence under 1 other name.
GCUCCCAUCGUCUAGCCCGGUCCAGGACGCGUCCCUCUCACGGACGAAACGCCGGUUCAAAUCCGGCUGGGAGCA